AUCCGCACUCUGACUCUCCACC
This 22-nucleotide microRNA is filed under the name Macaca mulatta (Rhesus monkey). RNAcentral describes it as "mml-miR-937". Its record names the gene mml-miR-937. The record is from miRBase by way of RNAcentral. Lineage: Eukaryota; Metazoa; Chordata; Mammalia; Primates; Cercopithecidae.